RNAcentral lists this long non-coding RNA (1769 nucleotides) under Equus caballus (horse). Its description in RNAcentral is "lncRNA (ENSECAG00000043436.2)". The record is from RNAcentral. Lineage: Eukaryota; Metazoa; Chordata; Mammalia; Perissodactyla; Equidae.
CAGACAUGAGAGUUGCUCAGGGUUCUCUCUUAAUUGAAGUCAUGAUGACUUCUUUUGACCCGUAAAAUUUUUAGAGGUAGAAGCUGUUGCCAUUAAUUUGAGGCCUUCUUUUCUGUAAUAGACCUGCAGUCUCACACCACAUGAUGAUAUUUCAGUUGAUGAUGGACCACAUAUACGAUGGUGGUUCUAUAAGAUGAGGACACUGAGAUUCUGAGAGGCCAAACAACUUGUCCAGGGUCACCCAGCAAACACAAGCAGAAAUAGAACCUGGAUUGAGGUUUGUCACAAGCCUGGAGUAGAGCAGAGUCCCCCUCCCCCACAGCACACUGCCAGGCAAAACCACAGGGCAUUGAGAGGAUUCUUCUGGCCUUUCCUCCCAGGACUUCCCAGUCUCCCUUUCCAGAUUGAGCAGGAUGGUCGUGGGGGCUGCUGGAGGGAUUUCUGUGUCCUGUCCUGGAGAACAUGGUCACAGAGGGGAGGCAGGGAGGGUCAGGCCCGCUCUCACUGUGCCGUCAGUCCUGCAGCAGAAAGUCAGUCUGAAGUUGGGCCAGUGCAUCUACAUGGAACAAAAGGCAAGUUGGAGGGACACCCUGCAAUGGUUCUUUAGGAUCUACAGAGGGGUGGCAAAUGCCCACAGCUGGGGCAGGUCGUACACACAAAUGAAGCUGUCCAGAUGUUAGCUGAGAUUGGUGGGAAAUAUGGGGACCAGGAAAACAUAGGCCUCCCCCAGGGAAUUUCAACUCAUCUUUAAUCCUGUGCAAACCAAACAAAACUGGACAGAGUCCCAGAGUCAUUGGUUUGUGAUCCUAUUAGAGGGACAAGGCCUGGGGAUCCACAUCACACCUGGCAGCAAGUGUCUGAAGAACUGCCACUUUGUCUUCUGUCCUACCUUCUUGGAUGUGCUGUCUAUCAGUUGCCUAACUUUGGGCUUUUGGAACCUGGCUCAUCUUCAUCUUCAUGUCAUGUCUUCAUCUUCAUCUGCAUGUCAACAACCACAUCACCGACUUUACAACCAACUUCCUGACCUUACAGACCCUCAGUCUUCACUUCUCAUGGCCCUAAACUCCAUUCAGGACUGGACCUUGAGAUGGGGUGAAAUGUAACUUGCAACUUGGAAACACAUGGCAGUUUGCUACCUCUGAACCUGUGUCAGUCACUGACUUUCUCCAUAGCCCUAAGCUGUAGGCUGACAGCCAAAGUAUUUUUGGAGGCUUAAACCCACCAGCUGAAAGAACAGACCCUCCUGCUGCCCCUUAGCAUCCCGUGGUCUGAGACAAGCCUGGACCCCUUCACAGCCUCCGCUGCCAGAGCUCUGCUGGGCUCUGCUGGGCUCCCUUGUUGGUGCACCCUAAGUCGUCUCCACGUUCUGGUUUGUCUCCAGUCCACCCACUGGGACUAGAGCCAUGCGCCGAAGUGCAGGUGGAAGCACUGACGCCCUGCCCAGUCCUGACCAGACCCCUUCUCAAGGGGUUAGCCUCUGCCCUAUUCUUCCAGCAAGGUGCCAGACAGAUCAAGUGGAACAAGAAUAUCAUUACCUUCCUAGUCCACCUGCCUUUACUGGAAACUUCUGCUCUUGCCCAAAUACUGGAACAGAUUUCCCCUUGGAAAAUGACCCUGGCUUGGAUCUUGCCCCUGUCUGCCACACCUAUUCCCAGCUUCCUCUUUCUCCUGGCUGAAGCCCCAAAACGCUGCCCUGCCAAGUCGCACAGCUCUGGUUCUGGGGCUGCUGAAUUUUCACCUGGGGACAAGGAAAAAUUGAAAAUCAGCAC